RNAcentral lists this ribosomal RNA (242 nucleotides) under uncultured bacterium. RNAcentral's name for it is "partial 16S ribosomal RNA". It matches the Rfam family "Bacterial small subunit ribosomal RNA", at positions 88 to 334 of the family's 1533-position model. The record is from RNAcentral.
UACUCGAGUGGCGAACGGGUGAGUAACACGUGGGUGAUCUGCCCUGCACUUCGGGAUAAGCUUGGGAAACUGGGUCUAAUACCGGAUAGGACCGCACUUUAGUGUGUGUGGUGGAAAGUUUUUCGGUGUAGGAUGAGCUCGCGGCCUAUCAGCUUGUUGGUGGGGUAAUGGCCUACCAAGGCGGCGACGGGUAGCCGGCCUGAGAGGGUGUACGGCCACAUUGGGACUGAGAUACGGCCCAG